Gallus gallus (chicken) is the source of this 1029-nucleotide long non-coding RNA. Lineage: Eukaryota; Metazoa; Chordata; Aves; Galliformes; Phasianidae. The record is from Ensembl.
GGAAGAGUUCUUGAAAUCCUCACUGCAACCGGGGCUCCCCAGGAACUGUGGAUCUGGAUGAUGUCUUGGUCCUAGUUUGCCACCAAAUAUGUCUGCACCUUGCAGAGCACCAUGGUGGGAGGGACACCCUGCCCAGCUCUGAACAGGAAGGAGAAUCGCCACCACACGCCUCUGUGAUGUGCAAUAAGCUGUGUGUAAGAGCAACACUCUGAAGUAUGUGACAGACAGCGUGGUGACUUCCUUAGGUGACACAGCAUGAUGCCAUCUUACUGUCUUGAAACCUUUGGCAGUGACUGCAGCCAUGAACGUGAGCACACCCAGACUACAAAUACAGGUGACAGCGGCGCGGGCUGGAGCGACCAGCUGGUGCUGUCAGGAAGAGCAAUGGGCAAGAGCUUUGCUUCAACAAGCCUGGACUGUGGUCACAUCUGUGUGCUCAGCCUUCGACCUGGAGAGACCUACUGGUUUACGCAAGUAAAAAAUCUUUCUGAAGACCUGUUUUCCUGAAACAUUUCUGAGCACAUACUAGUUUCUCUCAUGCCCUGUAUGCAAGCACCAGUCCUCUUUGCCUUGGGAAAUGACCACACAAAUUGCAGUCAAGAUUGUCCUAAAGUCCUGCCAGAAGCGAGCCAAAGAGAAGACUCCAAUUACCUCACCUAUGAAAAUUUCUUCUCCAGCAUAUAGUUGGAAGAUCAUGCCUGGCUGUAAAGAAAACUCUACAAAGUAUUUCUUACUGAAGAGAGAACAUCUUUUCCACUUUACCAUCGCUUUCUUUUACUUUUGUCUACUUCCAUGUUUUAUAUAAAGGUUCCUGGGAUAAAAGGCAUACAGUUUAGACUUCUUUGAAACUUCGGAUAAUGUUUAUAUCAGUCUUUAAACAUAAUGAUCUCCACUCACAAAUCCUAUAGAGGAUAUAAGCUGAAAAAUUAACCUCUCAGGCAAAAAGAGAUGUGGAAAUGCAUAGGAAAUGUUGAAUGUGUACACAGACUACUUUGUAACGCAGAUCCUAGUCAUUGCUGAUGGCUCUUA